AAAUUUCCGUUUGAUUGGGCUCUACAAUCAGGUGUUUUUGCGGCAGGGUAGAUGUAAUCGACGCCUGAGCUUCUUCUCACUUUCGGAAACGGCGACCCUCAUGGAAUCCACCUUGGAGUUUCUGGGAGACGAUUAGUCACGGCCAGUCUAUGGUGGGAGCCGUCAUUCCGUGUUGAAUCGUCUAGAUUUCUUCUCACCGGCUAUGUGAAUCUGGAAGCGUCACAGACUGCAAUCGUUGGCAUUAGCGGUUUUAUUAACUCCGGCAUGAAUGGGCAAAUAGACUCGACGAUCGUUACGGACAGGAAUCGUUUCUUUAAAUCUUCUUCCUCCUUUCUUCACUAUCACCACAAGUAGAAAGAUGACCAUCAUGAAUGCUUGAGUCAACUGUAAUUUUUUCCUCAAGAUCUAAAAAAAGAAGAUUGAAUAAUCUAAGAUAUAGAAAAGCUUUGCAAUUUGGUGUUUGGCGUUUUUUAUAAAUCUACAAUAAUCAUUUUGAGAUUGUUUCUUCUCCUGUUUCAUUACAUCUCAGUGUUUGCUAAUCUUUUCUGCUCAUUUUAACAUGUAACUUCACUUCACUGUGGUUCUACAACAUAUUGUCUGAGUGUUUUUUUACGCUCAAGCCAACCAGAAGUUACUGGGCGUGGAUGUGGAGCAUGAGGUGAUGUCGCUACCAGUAAUGACCCUAAGUUCAUGGCUGGCUUUUCCUAAAUACAACUUCUGGUACACAUUUAUAUAUACUUUGACAAAGAAACAAGUGACAGUGACAACCUUCGUAGCCAGGUAGUUUUCUCUAGCUUUAACAAUUUAUUCAUGAGAAAAAUACGGCUGUUUUUUGUAGCUUUGGUAAUGGUGAGUUAGCCUCUUCCACAAGUUCCAUCAAAUAUGUUGGUGUUAAUAAAAUAGAAACAGUAACAGUGUCAGAGCUCAACACCUAUGUGGUCAACUCUAAACCUCAGGUACCGUGUGGAGAUGACCAUCUCGGAUGCGAUAGACUCGGGUGUGUUUGAUGCAGAAAUGCUAAGUUAACAAAUGUGCGUGCGGCAGGAAGCGGGAGAGCUCAUGAACUAUGCAGCUGAUGGGUAUAUAAAAGAGAAAGUAGCAUUUUUGUGACUGGACUUAGUAUUUACACAGCUCCUGUUGAGAUAUGUGAGAAGCUUGCUAUUCCUGAAGCUGAAUGGCCACGAGCUAUUGGUGAAUUGUGCGGUUUGAUUCAUAUCAAAGAGGCUCUGUUCUAACACCGCAUCGAUAUAUAUGUUUUAGCUUUGUCUCAACAUCGAUGGAGUGAAAGAAGACACUGAAUGGAUGUCAAAGGUAAGCUUGAAAAGGGGAAGAGAUAUGGCUGAACUGGUAUCAAAAUAUGGUCUGCCGUCACUGGCACAACUACAUGGCUGAACUGGAAAAGUGCUGGAGGAAAAUAAGGUGGUCUUUACAUGAAUACUACUUGGUCCAAGAAGAACAAUACGAACGCAAUUUGUAGCUAAUUAAUCAUACCCUUAAAAAUUUACAGUACGAAUGAAAUCCUUGAGAGAUGUCCAAAAUAUUUUUAUUAUAAACAUAGAAAUUCAACCAUUUU
Brassica oleracea var. oleracea is the source of this 1573-nucleotide long non-coding RNA. RefSeq lists it as uncharacterized. The transcript is spliced from 6 exons. The record is from RefSeq and is a predicted model, not a curated record. NCBI's taxonomy places the organism in Eukaryota, Viridiplantae, Streptophyta, Magnoliopsida, Brassicales, Brassicaceae.